RNAcentral lists this transfer RNA (72 nucleotides) under Bos indicus (zebu cattle). It matches the Rfam family "tRNA". From Rfam's summary of the family: Transfer RNA (tRNA) molecules are approximately 80 nucleotides in length. Lineage: Eukaryota; Metazoa; Chordata; Mammalia; Artiodactyla; Bovidae. The record is from Rfam by way of RNAcentral.
UCCCUGGUGGCUCAGAUGGUAAAGAACCUGCCUGCAAUGCAGGAGACCCAGGUUCGAUUCCUGGGUUGGGAA